CAAUUGUCUCUUGUUAGCCGAAGCUGAAGGCAGACGUGAUCUGAUGCUGACGUAAAAAAACUUAAUGGCUAAUCUUGAUCUGAUUGUAAUGUGUAGACAUUGUGGAAGUUAUUAAGAAAUUCGGUGGAUGGAAGUAGCAAAGUGAAUUAAAUUGCAUACAGUAUCAAGAUGAUUUUAAUUGGUAUAAAUUAGUGAUUCCUGGACUAUUGCAAGAUUUCGGAGCAGAUUUUUCACGCUGAAAUGAAGGAGAUUUUUGAAGACCGGGACGCCGCCCGAAAGAAGAUAACCUGAUGUAUUAAGAAAAUCCAUAUUUUGACGAAUACGAUUUACGCGGAAGUGUUUGACCAGCCGCUGGAGGACAGAAAAUUUAAUGGAAACUCAGAAGAAACUCUUAUUAAAAAAACAUAAAGGAAGCCACUUUGAUGACAAUGACUUAAUAAUAAACACUGAAAAAACUGUAGCUAUGGAUAUACACACAGCACAAACAAAAAAUCUGAUAUCACCCAAUCUAGAGCUAUAUGAACAGACAAUUGCCAAAACAGCCUGUACCAAAUUUCUUGGACUUCAUCUACAAAACAACUUGAUAUGGCUUUCACGGCCGGCAUCUUCAUCAUAAACAGUUCCGGGCUAAAUUGCCGUGGUCGAUCUGUAGAACUUCUUCUCCCUGGCGUUUUGUUCUCAACUACGGAGAACAUCUUCCGAGCAAAAUGAAGAAUAAGAAACGGAUGGAUGGGCUUCAAGUUCUCCGGAAAAAAAAAAAAAUUAAUUGCCUGGAAGUAAUCUACACAAUUAAGAAAAACUUAAUUAGUGAUUUGAAGAAAAAUUGAAAUGUUUGAUGAACUGCUGCAACUAGCUGUUUAAAUAA
This is a long non-coding RNA of Schistocerca nitens (vagrant locust), 865 nucleotides long. RefSeq lists it as uncharacterized. The record is from RefSeq and is a predicted model, not a curated record. Lineage: Eukaryota; Metazoa; Arthropoda; Insecta; Orthoptera; Acrididae. The transcript has 5 exons.